AUUUAGAAAAUAUUUCCCCAAAUCAUAAACCCUUAUUAUUUUCCCCAAUUCUUCCGCGAAAUCUCCAUCUCCAAUCUGAUCGUCUUCCAUCUCCAAUCCGACCAUCUUCCGGCCUCGUCACCAUUCGCCCCUACUCCUGGCCGUCUGUUCACUCUGGCGUGGUCAUCUAUUCGCUCCGAUGUGUCCAUCAUUUUCGUCUUCUCCAGCGCUGCCAUUCGUGCCCGCCGUCACCUCCUCUGGCGAGAUGAGUCUUGAAGAAGCGAUAGGAUACGUUGCAUCUGAUGAACUCAUUAAGGGAGAUGGCUGUUGAAUUUCGAUCUAGAGAUUCUGACCUAUGGAAGCACAUUUAUGCAAAUGAGUACAUGAAAUGUGAAGUGAUAGAGUGUUGUGAAUCUUUAAAAAAUGUCCUGAAUGUUCUGGCAGUUGGAGAAAAUGAGAAAAUGUUCCAAGCUACAUUCCUACUUAUUGAACCAAACAUCAUCAAAUAAUCAUAGUUCUUUCCUUUUUGUCAGUUGCAGUUUUUUUUUUUUUUUUUUUUUUUUGUCGACUUUGACACUUGAACAAGUUUUUUUUUUUAUGAGGAUAUAUUAAGAAUCUUGCUUUUAAGGCUUCCUCUUUUCUCUCUCGCUUUAUUUGAAUGAUAGUAAAUGGUUCAAAUUAGUUUAUUACAACAAUGAUUUGUAUGUAGUUUCAUUUAUAAUGUCAAUAUAUCAAAAUUCUUGAUUAAUUGACUGCAGUUCAAAGAAAGUGUUAAACAAUUUGCUCAAGAUAACAUUGCUCCCCAUGCCACAAAAAUUGAUCAACCCAACUCUUUUCCAAAUGUCAGUUGGAAGUCCUUCUCUAUAUGUUUAAUGAGUUGCUAUAUGAUUUGACUAAAAUGUAUUGUAUUGUAGGAUGUUAACUUAUGGAAGCUCAUUCGGGACUUCGAUCUCCAUGGAAUUAGAACAUCAGAUUACUUAUUUAUAUCCAGGUAAAUUUUCUAAAGAGCAAUGAUACAAGAGUUGUAAUUUGUAAAAAGUUUCAAUAUUGUAGACCAAAUGGAUGUUACGGUGAUGUUGUUAUUCUACAUUUGUGCUCUGCUAUGUAGUUGUUUCUCUUAUCGACGCAUGUAGUGAUAGGUUCAACUGGAGUCGACAACUUCAUAAGUUUACUUUCAAAGAACAUUUUCAGAGACGAACAUUCUCGGUUGGUCGUUUAUGCUUCUGCAGAAAAUCUUGUUAGAUGUAUUAUAAUGCUAUUUAAAAUAUUUUUUGAUUAAGGGUUGGGAUU
Molecule: RNA transcript, 1269 nt
Organism: Cucumis sativus (cucumber)
Lineage: Eukaryota; Viridiplantae; Streptophyta; Magnoliopsida; Cucurbitales; Cucurbitaceae
Gene name: isovaleryl-CoA dehydrogenase, mitochondrial-like
Exons: 5
Source: RefSeq, a predicted model, not a curated record